UGCAAGUCGAACGGAAAGGCCCUUCGGGUACUCGAGUGGCGAACGGGUGAGUAACACGUGGGUGAUCUGCCCCUGACUUUGGGAUAAGCCUGGGAAACUGGGUCUAAUACCGGAUAUUACCUUCCACUGCAUGGUGGGGGGUGGAAAGCUUUUGCGGUUAGGGAUGGGCCCGCGGCCUAUCAGCUUGUUGGUGGGGUAAUGGCCUACCAAGGCGACGACGGGUAGCCGACCUGAGAGGGUGAUCGGCCACACUGGGACUGAGACACGGCCCAGACUCCUACGGGAGGCAGCAGUGGGGAAUAUUGCACAAUGGGCGGAAGCCUGAUGCAGCGACGCCGCGUGAGGGAUGACGGCUUCGGGUUGUAAACCUCUUUCGCCGGGACGAAGCUUUCGGGGUGACGGUACUUGGA
RNAcentral lists this ribosomal RNA (410 nucleotides) under uncultured bacterium. RNAcentral describes it as "bacterial SSU rRNA". It matches the Rfam family "Bacterial small subunit ribosomal RNA", at positions 56 to 483 of the family's 1533-position model. The record is from RNAcentral.